This 373-nucleotide ribosomal RNA is filed under the name uncultured bacterium. RNAcentral describes it as "bacterial SSU rRNA". It matches the Rfam family "Bacterial small subunit ribosomal RNA", at positions 8 to 385 of the family's 1533-position model. The record is from RNAcentral.
AGAGUUUGAUCCUGGCUCAGAUUGAACGCUGGCGGCAUGCUUUACACAUGCAAGUCGAACGGUAACAGGCCGCAAGGUGCUGACGAGUGGCGAACGGGUGAGUAAUGUAUCGGAACGUGCCCAGUCGUGGGGGAUAACGCAGCGAAAGCUGCGCUAAUACCGCAUACGAUCUAUGGAUGAAAGCGGGGGACCGUAAGGCCUCGCGCGAUUGGAGCGGCCGAUAUCAGAUUAGGUAGUUGGUGGGGUAAAGGCUCACCAAGCCAACGAUCUGUAGCUGGUCUGAGAGGACGACCAGCCACACUGGGACUGAGACACGGCCCAGACUCCUACGGGAGGCAGCAGUGGGGAAUUUUGGACAAUGGGCGCAAGCCUG